UCUUUCAUUCACUCCUUGUGCUUCCUUGUUGGUGCUCCUUUGGAUUUAUGGUUUGUCGUCUGUCCUGGCUCCCAGAGUUUUUAUUUGUUGCAGCUUCCUGCCUGCUGGCUCUACUGUGGGAACUGGAUGCAGACCACCUCCAGUUCCUGUCUGAGGCCUACAGCAGAUCUAAUUGGAUCAUCACAGAAGAUGCAAUUGGUUCUUCGUCAAAAUGAUGGACAUCAAGAAAGUCUAACACAACCUCUGACAGAGAGAUCUGGAAGAUGACUCGUCUCUGUACCCACUUACAUGCAGAAGCUGAGGGAGCUAAAUUCUCUUGCAAGAAGGAAUGAUGAGUGCAUGUAUGAUUCUGUCUGAAUUCAUCUCCAACUCACUAAACCUCUGUAAUUACAUCCCCUCACAGGAAAAAAAUAAACCAUUUUCAUCUAUUGGGAUGAUGAAUUUGACAAUAUGUAGACUUCACAUCUGCAGGAAACGCACAAAUCUCUGUCUUUGAUGGUGCUGAUCUGAAGGCUGUGUAAUUAAACAUUGUU
Long non-coding RNA from Poecilia latipinna (sailfin molly), 533 nucleotides. RefSeq lists it as uncharacterized. NCBI's taxonomy places the organism in Eukaryota, Metazoa, Chordata, Actinopteri, Cyprinodontiformes, Poeciliidae. The transcript is spliced from 3 exons. The record is from RefSeq and is a predicted model, not a curated record.